GCGAGCGUAGUUCAAUGGUAAAACAUCUCCUUGCCAAGGAGAAGAUACGGGU
Molecule: transfer RNA, 52 nt
Filed under: Pseudoroegneria strigosa
Lineage: Eukaryota; Viridiplantae; Streptophyta; Magnoliopsida; Poales; Poaceae
Description: partial tRNA-Gly
Rfam family: tRNA
About the family: Transfer RNA (tRNA) molecules are approximately 80 nucleotides in length.
Source: RNAcentral